AUUGAACGCUGGCGGCAGGCCUAACACAUGCAAGUCGAACGAGUGGCGGACGGGUGAGUCAUUUCUGGGAAACUGCCUGAUGGAGGGGGAUAACUACUGGAAACGGUCGCUAAUACCGCAUACCAUCAGAUGUGCCCAUAUGGGAUUAGCUUGUUGGUGGGGUAACGGCUCACCAAGGCGACGAUCCAUAGCUGGUCUGAGAGGAUGACCAGCCACACUGGAACUGAGACACGGUCAAGACUCCGACGGGAGGCAGCAGUGGGGAAGAUUGCACAAUGGGCGCAAGCCUGAUGCAGCCAUGCCGCGUGUAUGAAGAAGGCCUUCGGGUUGUAAAGUACUGUCAGCGGGGAGGCGUUACCCGCAGAAGAAGCACCGGCUAACUCCGUGCCAGCAGCCGCGGUAAUAC
RNAcentral lists this ribosomal RNA (406 nucleotides) under uncultured bacterium. RNAcentral's name for it is "partial 16S ribosomal RNA". It matches the Rfam family "Bacterial small subunit ribosomal RNA", at positions 30 to 526 of the family's 1533-position model. The record is from RNAcentral.